Syzygium oleosum is the source of this 219-nucleotide long non-coding RNA. RefSeq lists it as uncharacterized. The record is from RefSeq and is a predicted model, not a curated record. Lineage: Eukaryota; Viridiplantae; Streptophyta; Magnoliopsida; Myrtales; Myrtaceae. The transcript has 2 exons.
UUUCGCUUUACGGAAGACAAGGAGAUAUUUAGAGAACCGCCAAUUGUCAGAGCUGGGCUUAUUCAAAACUCUAUAGUUCUUCCCACAACUGCUCCCUUUCUGGAUCAGAAGAGGGCUAUCCAUCAGAAAGUAAAACCAACGAUAGACACUGCAGGUGCUUCAGGAGUGAACAUCUUAUGCUUGCAGGAAGCAUGGAUGAUGCCAUUUGCCUUUUGUAAA